Molecule: long non-coding RNA, 1740 nt
Filed under: Homo sapiens (human)
Lineage: Eukaryota; Metazoa; Chordata; Mammalia; Primates; Hominidae
Description: HSALNT0323494
Source: RNAcentral
CUUCAGCAGUUGGACCGCUACGCCUCCGCCUCCCUCCGGCCCCGGGACCUGCGCAAGCGCGACGCGCCCCCUCCCGUCCCGCCCCUUUCUUUCUGCCGCGCGGCCCCAUGGGAAUUGUAGUUCUCUGCUGCAGAGUCAACCUGAGCUCCGCCCUGACCCCGCGCCAUGAGGGACGGAGGAACUACUAAUCCUAGCAUGCAUAGCGCGGCCACGGACCCACUUUUUUUUUUUUUUUUUUUUUUCAGUACCGGGAAAACAGGAGCGUGUGAUUGGGGUUUACAGUGUUUUCUCUCGCUCUCUCUGUUUCUAGGGAAUUCGGGCUGUGUUUAGCUGCUGGAAUAUCGUAGAAUUGGUUUUCAGAGAAGUUCCUCGACUCCUGAGGCGAAACAUAAAGGGAUGGGAGUGGUGUGGGAAGUGAUCGUGUGGGGAAAAAAAAGUUUCGAGCCCGUUUCGCAUUUGUGGAGACAGAGUUUUUGGUGUGACCACUCUUUUGUGGGAAACCCAAACCAAGGAGAACUCAGGAGAAUUGGCGCUCUUCGGUCCUGGAGGUUCCGCAGCUAACAUCCCGGCUUGACCAACUAUCGAGGCCGCAAAUUAAUAGGGCACCUCCUGGGAGGAAAACGCCCAUCCUGACUUCUCAACUGUGACAGGUCCCCCUCACAAACGCCUUGCGGGGGGGUGGGGGGGCGUUUCUAAACACUUGCAUGUUCUUACAAGGGAAAUGUUUUUAUUCUUGGGCGCACCAAGUUGGCCGCCUCCUGAGGUGGAGUACGGACCAGUUGACAACAGGGCUCCUUUUCACCUCCACGCCCAACCUUUUCCAUUUCUCCUCAAACGGUUUUGGAGAAGGGCGGAGUCAUAUCAUUUUAAAGGAAACUUGGAACCUCACCAAUACAAACGCUGGUCGAAUGUUCCCAGAAACUUCCCUGCAUUAGCUCUACCGGGCGCGGGGAGCAGAAAGCGCAUUUCCUGAGUCCUGAAAAGCGCGUGCGCGCCUGUGUGCUGCCGGCGUUUGGGCGCGCCUGCUUGUAUGUAUGUGUUCGCGGGCGCGCGCGUGUGUACGUGUGUGUGCGCGCGUACGCGUGUAUGUUCCUGCGCGCUUGCGGGGACGUGCUUGUGGAGGGCGGAGAGAGGGAUGGGCGUGGCUAAUAUGAAAGCUGCAUCUUUACUAUUUGCUCUGUCGCCCAGGAUGGAGUGCAGUGCAGUGGCGCGAUCCUGCAACCUCCGCCUCUCGAGUUCAAGCGAUUCUCCUGCCUCAGCCUCCCGAGUAGCUGGGAUUACAGACGCGCGCCACCCCACCCAGAUGAUCUUUUUAAAUGCAAAAUGCCAUCGACGCAGAAAAUCAAAGAAUCAGCUUAAGUUCCAGAAAAAAGAAAAACCAACCAAAUGAACAAUAAGACAACAACAACAACAACAAAAAAGGCCUUUUGGGAUUUUGGAUGAUAUUGCAUCAAAUCCAUACAUUAACCUGAGAGACGAGCGACUUCUUCAACAUUGAGCCUUCCAAUCAUGAUUUUCAAUUCAUUUAGGUCUUCUGUAAUGUUUCUUAAUAUAAUUGUAUUUGUUGCUAUGCAGAAGUUUCACUGAUCUUUUAUUAUAUCUCUAUAUAUAUUUGAUAUUUCUGACACUAUUGUAAAUAGUAUCUUUUUAAUAUUUCAUUUUCCUUUUUUGUUGCUUAAAUAUAUAUAAAAUAAGCUAAUUUUCCAAACUAAUUUUUAUAUCCAGCAACCCUGCUAAAAU